RNAcentral lists this ribosomal RNA (923 nucleotides) under uncultured bacterium. RNAcentral's name for it is "partial 16S ribosomal RNA". It matches the Rfam family "Bacterial small subunit ribosomal RNA", at positions 8 to 905 of the family's 1533-position model. The record is from RNAcentral.
AGAGUUUGAUCCUGGCUCAGAACGAACGCUGGCGGCGUGCUUAACACAUGCAAGUCGAACGAGAAAUCCUGGGCAACUGGGAGAGUAAAGUGGCGCACGGGUGAGUAACGCGUGGGUAAUCUACCCUUUAAUCAGGGAUAACUCCGCGAAAGCGGGGCUAAUACCAGAUAAUAUCUCAACCUCAAAGGGUUGAAAUCAAAGGUGGCCUCUGCAUGCAAGCUACUGUUGAAGGAUGAGCCCGCGUACCAUUAGCUUGUUGGUAGGGUAACGGCCUACCAAGGCAACGAUGGUUAGCUGGUCUGAGAGGAUGGCCAGCCACACUGGAACUGAGACACGGUCCAGACUCCUACGGGAGGCAGCAGUGGGGAAUAUUGCGCAAUGGGGGAAACCCUGACGCAGCGACGCCGCGUGGGUGAUGAAGGCCUUCGGGUCGUAAAGCCCUGUCAGGUGGGAAGAAACGUGUCGGUGUCAAUACCACCGAUACCUGACGGUACCACCGGAGGAAGCACCGGCUAACUCCGUGCCAGCAGCCGCGGUAAUACGGAGGGUGCAAGCGUUGUUCGGAAUUACUGGGCGUAAAGCGCGUGUAGGCGGUUGGGUAAGUCAGAUGUGAAAGCCUUCCGCUCAACGGAAGAAGGGCAUUUGAAACUACCCAGCUAGAGUACGGGAGAGGAGAGUGGAAUUCCCGGUGUAGAGGUGAAAUUCGUAGAUAUCGGGAGGAACACCAGUGGCGAAAGCGGCUCUCUGGUCCGAUACUGACGCUGAGACGCGAAARSSKKGGGRRSMAAMMAGRAUWARWWMCCYBGKWWKUCCMCGCCKUAAACGAAGGGCAUUAGGUGUAGGAGGUAUUGACCCCUUCUGUGCCGAAGCUAACGCAUUAAGUGCCCCGCCUGGGGAGUACGGCCGCAAGGCUAAAACUCAAA